GGAAACCAAAUCUGUAUCAGCCGCACCGGUGCAGGCAUAGCCAGCCCCAGCCUCAGACUGCUCGCCUCACCUGGCCCAGGCUUCGGUUUCCUCCCUCAAGGCUGACUCUUCCUGAAGGAGCACUCCAGGAGGCCUGUCACCAGUUUUGAAGUCCUUACCUCGGCCUCUUGAGUGCUGGGAUUACAGUUGUAUCCCACCGUGCUUCCCAAAGCAAGAUGGAGAGAGGUGCCUGGGCGAUGCCAGUAGAGGUGGGGAGGAGCAGAUGGGUAAUCUCCCAGCCCCACCAAGACUCACUCUGUGGAUGACACCAGCAGCGUGGAUAUACUGUGGGAGAGAGGGAGUUCAGCCGUCAGCUCAGCGGGCGCCCCAAGCCUCUCAGCUCUACCCUGCCCAGCCAGGAAGCCUGUCCACCUCCCUACGGCCACCUCUUACCUUCAGCCCCUUCAGCAUCUGAUACACAAGGAACUGGACUCUGUCUUCACUCAGAGUCUCGUGCUUCAUCAGCUUGCCCAGAUCAGUGCCCAUGAACGGCAUCACCAGGUAGCUGUGGAAACAAGGGAUGCAGCCAAUGCAGGGCUAGUCCCUAGACCUAAGCUAACACCCACUGGGCCCAGUUCACACCUUGCCACACCCCAUCCCAGCAGGAGCCACUACAAUAUUACUCUGUAGCACCCAUUCCUCACUAUCUUCGGGGUCCUACCAUACUGUGAUGCUUCAAUCCCACCAUGCCCUGCUAGGCUCCUACUUUCUGUCCACACCUAUCUUGGGCAAUUACACCAUCUCGAUGCAUGCUCAUAUCCCCACUUUCCAAAAUGGAAGGCAGGGUUUAGGGGGACUUUGUUUUUGAGGAAAGGUCUCACUUUGCAGUCCUUUCUGGCCCAGAACUCACUGUGCAGACCAGGAUGACCUCAGACACACAGACAGCUCUGCCCCUGCCCCUGCCCCUGCCCCUGCCCCUGCCCCUGCCCCUGCCCCUGCCCCUGCCUCCACCUCCGCCUCC
Molecule: long non-coding RNA, 1000 nt
Organism: Microtus oregoni (creeping vole)
Lineage: Eukaryota; Metazoa; Chordata; Mammalia; Rodentia; Cricetidae
Exons: 3
Source: RefSeq, a predicted model, not a curated record